UUUUUUUACUUGCAUCUACUCUCAGCGUAUAAGCUCUCGUCAAACGAAACCCGGAGUGCGGACUGCGGCUCCAUACCAUAACAAUGCGUUGCCCACAUAUAUAUAACACACCAAGGAGGCCGAGUACCGCAAAGGGCUAUCCGCUAAGCAGGCAACUCCGGGUCGAAUGAGACGCAUUCGCUGUCGAGCUUAGAAACGGCGCCAUACAUACUGG
Molecule: small nucleolar RNA, 214 nt
Filed under: Trichophyton rubrum BMU01672
Lineage: Eukaryota; Fungi; Ascomycota; Eurotiomycetes; Onygenales; Arthrodermataceae
Description: HACA-box snoRNA
Source: RNAcentral